UCCUUGUCGGAGAAGUAGUAUAAAGUGGAGAUGACUUCUCACCUCCAAUCAUCCCUCAAACAAUUUCUAACACUACACACUAAAAUUCUCUUUCACAAGCAAGCACCAAGUAUUUUUCAACGAGCUUUUGCACCUCUUCAUUUAAGUUGAGCUAUGAUGGAGUGGAGGGCGCUGAUCCAAGUGGGGCUUACUCUUGUGUCUAUACAGUACUCUCAGAGGUUCAUGUCUUCAUACAUGGAAUUGCGUUCAAUUGUUUCCGAUGUGCUAUUUAAACAAGUUAAAUCUUGUUUUCCCCCUGAAACUCUGACAAUUAAUAAACAGUAUUAUAUGAACCUUUCACUCGAA
Long non-coding RNA from Salvia splendens (bonfire salvia), 345 nucleotides. RefSeq lists it as uncharacterized. NCBI's taxonomy places the organism in Eukaryota, Viridiplantae, Streptophyta, Magnoliopsida, Lamiales, Lamiaceae. The transcript has 2 exons. The record is from RefSeq and is a predicted model, not a curated record.